GGCCGGGUCUGCCGCCGGGCCGCGCCCCUGUGUCCUCCGGGAUGAGCUCGUCCUUCCGAAGCUCGUAGGCCCCUCCCUGAUACGCUCCCAUCCCGUUUCCCCCUCCUUGCCCGGGUGGGCUGCCCUCCCGCGGGCGGAGGGCCCCUCCUCCCUUUCAUCCCUACCUUCUCCCAUCCCCCGACCCACGACCACCCCGGAGGAAUCCCUAGCACCGCCUGCCCAGCCCUUACCCAUUCUCUAGCCCGUUUGGGAAAGAAGAGAUGCUGGGGAAGCCGCAGUUCUGGGUCCGAGGCGCAGCCCCGCGCCUGGCCGACUCGUGACCUUGAGCCAGGCGCUACCGGCCAGGCCUCAGUUUACCCUUUUGGACAGUUGGGCCCCGGUCCUCGUUGUUGGGAGCCGGGUGGGCAGAGCAGAGGUGCGCCUGCAUGGAACCUUUGGCUGUGUACUGGGGCCCCCAACCCCUCUCUCUGCACCAAACCUAGUGCCUGCCAGUCUUGGCUGGGAGGAUGACUCAUAAUAGCGUCCUCUAGCGUCCCUUGCCCCUACUGGGCCCCAAGCCUUGGCCUUGCAGGACAGUUAGGGUAUGAAGCCCCCCCACCCCAGAUUCCCUCCAUGGGGUCUUCUUUCCCAGCUUUCUGUUGCUGAGCCACCUCAUAGGCCUUCCUGUUCCAACAAAGAUCCUACUGUGCUGGCCCCUCCAGCCCUGCCCUCUCCUAGGACUCCUGCCAGCCUUCCCCCAGGUCUGUGAAGGCCCACUUGGAGCAGGGGCCCACCUUAUGGUAGCCCCUGGGUCUCUAGGUCCUCUUGGAGGGUCUUGGAGCCUGGCUAGUGACCCAGCCAGCCUUACCCUUUCCAGGGUUCAGUCUCCCCAUCUGUAUAACGGGAAGGGGCAAGCUGGGGGAUCUCUAGGGCCCACCCAGCCCCAAGGGUGCCAGGCCCUAAGGAUGACUAAGCAUGCCUAGAGGCCAGCUUGACCAGGUGCCAGGCCUCCCCGGAGCAGGUGUCUGGGAUUGCUCAGCCCUGUGGCCCUGGCCCCUUGUUAGGCCAGGGCAUAGCCAGGCCUUCCAUAGCUCUGUCCGGUCCCUGCCCUUUGAAGGGUCCACUUCCUGGGCAGGCAGGGGAGGAAAGGGAGCUGUGACAGGAGUGCCACUGCCUUAUUUCUAAAUCAUGCUGCUUUCUCUCUCCCCAUUUUCUCUUGCCGGACCCUGCGUUGAAGAAUGCCAUUGCUGGAGGGCAGACAUCUGCUCCUCCUCCUCGGUUUACAGAUAGAGAAACUGAGGCGCAGAGGGGCUUGGUGACGUAGCCGUGGUCUCAGCAAGACUCUCAGACCUACGUGCUCAGUCCUGCACAGCUCAGCCUGGCGCUGCGUGUGUGCACCAGGAUCUGUGGAUGUGCAUGUGGGGUCAGGCAGGCUUGCA
This 1418-nucleotide long non-coding RNA is filed under the name Sus scrofa (pig). RNAcentral's name for it is "lncRNA (ENSSSCG00005025016.1)". The record is from RNAcentral. Lineage: Eukaryota; Metazoa; Chordata; Mammalia; Artiodactyla; Suidae.